AAGCUCGUGUUGUGAAAUGUUGGGUUAAGUCCCGCAACGAGCGCAACCCUUAUCCUUUGUUGCCAGCGAUUCGGUCGGGAACUCAAAGGAGACUGCCGGUGAUAAACCGGAGGAAGGUGGGGAUGACGUCAAGUCAUCAUGGCCCUUACGAGUAGGGCUACACACGUGCUACAAUGGCGCAUACAAAGAGAAGCGACCUCGCGAGAGCAAGCGGACCUCACAAAGUGCGUCGUAGUCCGGAUCGGAGUCUGCAACUCGACUCCGUGAAGUCGGAAUCGCUAGUAAUCGUGGAUCAGAAUGCCACGGUGAAUACGUUCCCGGGCCUUGUACACACCGCCCGUCACACCAUGGGAGUGGGUUGCAAAAGAAGUANGUNUAGCUUA
RNAcentral lists this ribosomal RNA (383 nucleotides) under Pantoea sp. RNAcentral describes it as "bacterial SSU rRNA". It matches the Rfam family "Bacterial small subunit ribosomal RNA", at positions 1056 to 1438 of the family's 1533-position model. The record is from RNAcentral. Lineage: Bacteria; Pseudomonadati; Pseudomonadota; Gammaproteobacteria; Enterobacterales; Erwiniaceae.